Molecule: ribosomal RNA, 465 nt
Filed under: uncultured Klebsiella sp.
Lineage: Bacteria; Pseudomonadati; Pseudomonadota; Gammaproteobacteria; Enterobacterales; Enterobacteriaceae
Description: bacterial SSU rRNA
Rfam family: Bacterial small subunit ribosomal RNA
Source: RNAcentral
CCUACGGGGGGCUGCAGUGGGGAAUAUUGCACAAUGGGCGCAAGCCUGAUGCAGCCAUGCCGCGUGUGUGAAGAAGGCCUUCGGGUUGUAAAGCACUUUCAGCGGGGAGGAAGGCGUUAAGGUUAAUAACCUUGGCGAUUGACGUUACCCGCAGAAGAAGCACCGGCUAACUCCGUGCCAGCAGCCGCGGUAAUACGGAGGGUGCAAGCGUUAAUCGGAAUUACUGGGCGUAAAGCGCACGCAGGCGGUCUGUCAAGUCGGAUGUGAAAUCCCCGGGCUCAACCUGGGAACUGCAUUCGAAACUGGCAGGCUAGAGUCUUGUAGAGGGGGGUAGAAUUCCAGGUGUAGCGGUGAAAUGCGUAGAGAUCUGGGGGAAUACCGGUGGCGAAGGCGGCCCCCUGGACAAAGACUGACGCUCAGGUGCGAAAGCGUGGGGAGCAAACAGGAUUAGAUACCCGGGUAGUC